CAAGACCUGCGCUAUUGGAGCGGCCGAUGUCCGAUUAGCUAGUUGGUGGGGUAAAGGCUCACCAAGGCGACGAUCGGUAGCUGGUCUGAGAGGAUGAUCAGCCACACUGGGACUGAGACACGGCCCAGACUCCUACGGGAGGCAGCAGUGGGGAAUUUUGGACAAUGGGCGAAAGCCUGAUCCAGCCAUGCCGCGUGAGUGAAGAAGGCCUUCGGGUUGUAAAGCUCUUUCGGCCGGAACGAAAUCGACCGGGCUAACACCUCGGUUGGAUGACGGUACCGGAAGAAGAAGCACCGGCUAACUACGUGCCAGCAGCCGCGGUAAUACGUAGGGUGCAGGCGUUAAUCGGAAUUACUGGGCGUAAAGCGUGCGCAGGCGGCUUCCUAAGUCAGAUGUGAAAUCCCCGGGCUUAACCUGGGAACU
RNAcentral lists this ribosomal RNA (423 nucleotides) under uncultured bacterium. Its description in RNAcentral is "bacterial SSU rRNA". It matches the Rfam family "Bacterial small subunit ribosomal RNA", at positions 207 to 622 of the family's 1533-position model. The record is from RNAcentral.